AGUGAACGCUGGCGGUAGGCCUAACACAUGCAAGUCGAACGGCAGCACAGUAAGAGCUUGCUCUUACGGGUGGCGAGUGGCGGACGGGUGAGGAAUACAUCGGAAUCUACUUUUUCGAGGGGGAUAACGUAGGGAAACUUACGCUAAUACCGCAUACGACCUACGGGUGAAAGCAGGGGAUCUUCCGACCUUGCACGAUUGAAUGAGCCGAUGUCGGAUUAGCUAGUUGGCGGGGUAAAGGCCCACCAAGGCGACGAUCCGUAGCUGGUCUGAGAGGAUGAUCAGCCACACUGGAACUGAGACACGGUCCAGACUCCUACGGGAGGCAGCAGUGGGGAAUAUUGGACAAUGGGCGCAAGCCUGAUCCAGCCAUACCGCGUGGGUGAAGAAGGCCUUCGGGUUGUAAAGCCCUUUUGUUGGGAAAGAAAAGCAGCAGGUUAAUACCCCGCUGUUCUGACGUUACCCAAAGAAUAAGCACCGGCUAACUUCGUG
RNAcentral lists this ribosomal RNA (492 nucleotides) under uncultured bacterium. RNAcentral describes it as "partial 16S ribosomal RNA". It matches the Rfam family "Bacterial small subunit ribosomal RNA", at positions 29 to 507 of the family's 1533-position model. The record is from RNAcentral.